UCGGCGGCCGCGUCGGAGACGGCGGCGAUCAACGCCGCCAGCGACGGUUCGAGUCCGGUGCCGGCGAGC
This 69-nucleotide transfer RNA is filed under the name Paractinoplanes durhamensis. Its description in RNAcentral is "Actinoplanes durhamensis tRNA-Sec". Lineage: Bacteria; Bacillati; Actinomycetota; Actinomycetes; Micromonosporales; Micromonosporaceae. The record is from RNAcentral.